AACGCGAAGAACCUUACCCCGGGUCUUGUACACACCGAGGCCUUGUACACACCGUGGCCUUGUACACACGGGUCUUGUACACACCGAUGCUAUUCCUAGAGAUAGGAAGUUUCUUCGGAGCAUCGGUGACAGGUGGUGCAUGGUUGUCGUCAGCUCGUGUCGUGAGAUGUUGGGUUAAGUCCCGCAACGAGCGCAACCCCUAUUGUUAGUUGCCAUCAUUAAGUUGGGCACUCUAGCGAGACUGCCGGUAAUAAACCGGAGGAAGGUGGGGAUGACGUCAAAUCAUCAUGCCCCUUAUGACCUGGGCUACACACGUGCUACAAUGGUUGGUACAACGAGUCGCGAGUCGGUGACGGCAAGCAAAUCUCUUAAAGCCAAUCUCAGUUCGGAUUGUAGGCUGCAACUCGCCUACAUGAAGUCGGAAUCGCUAGUAAUCGCGGAUCAGAAAUCCGUGCGCUCUACUCUUGCUGCUGCUAAUUAAUUCAAUAUAUUCAUUCUGUGGGGAUCCCGGGGGGGAUAAGAGAAGGGGGUCUUGUACACAC
RNAcentral lists this ribosomal RNA (542 nucleotides) under uncultured bacterium. Its description in RNAcentral is "bacterial SSU rRNA". The stretch from base 1 to 456 matches the Rfam family "Bacterial small subunit ribosomal RNA", at positions 958 to 1363 of the family's 1533-position model. The record is from RNAcentral.